This 233-nucleotide ribosomal RNA is filed under the name uncultured bacterium. RNAcentral's name for it is "partial 16S ribosomal RNA". It matches the Rfam family "Bacterial small subunit ribosomal RNA", at positions 105 to 334 of the family's 1533-position model. The record is from RNAcentral.
ACGGUGAGUAACACGUAUCCAACCUGCCGUCUACUCUUGGACAGCCUUCUGAAAGGAAGAUUAAUCCAGGAUGGCAUCAUGAGUUCACAUGUCCGCAUGAUUAAAGGUAUUUUCCGGUAGACGAUGGGGAUGCGUUCCAUUAGAUAGUAGGCGGGGUAACGGCCCACCUAGUCAACGAUGGAUAGGGGUUCUGAGAGGAAGGUCCCCCACAUUGGAACUGAGACACGGUCCAA